This 467-nucleotide ribosomal RNA is filed under the name uncultured bacterium. RNAcentral's name for it is "bacterial SSU rRNA". It matches the Rfam family "Bacterial small subunit ribosomal RNA", at positions 108 to 573 of the family's 1533-position model. The record is from RNAcentral.
GAGUAACGCGUAUCCAACCUUCCGUACACUCAGGGAUAGCCUUUCGAAAGAAAGAUUAAUACCUGAUGGUAUGAUGAGAUUGCAUGAUAUCAUCAUUAAAGGUUCAUCGGUGUACGAUGGGGAUGCGUUCCAUUAGGUAGUAGGCGGGGUAACGGCCCACCUAGCCUACGAUGGAUAGGGGUUCUGAGAGGAAGGUCCCCCACAUUGGAACUGAGACACGGUCCAAACUCCUACGGGAGGCAGCAGUGAGGAAUAUUGGUCAAUGGACGAGAGUCUGAACCAGCCAAGUAGCGUGAAGGAUGAAGGUCCUACGGAUUGUAAACUUCUUUUAUAAGGGAAUAAAACCUCCCACGUGUGGGAGCUUGUAUGUACCUUAUGAAUAAGCAUCGGCUAACUCCGUGCCAGCAGCCGCGGUAAUACGGAGGAUGCGAGCGUUAUCCGGAUUUAUUGGGUUUAAAGGGAGCGCA